AGAGUUUGAUCCUGGCUCAGGAUGAACGCUGGCGGCGUGCUUAACACAUGCAAGUCGAACGGAUUGGCGAUUAGCAGAAGUCCACUGGAGACGGGGAACAUGAGAAAUCGUGGGAACCGUGGAAGGCGGAUGGAAGCUACAAGCCGGUCAGUGGCGGACGGGUGAGUAACACGUGGGUGACCUGCCCUGAAGUGGGGGAUAACUAUCCGAAAGGAUGGCUAAUACCGCAUGUGAUUCGGCAUUCGGUUGUCGAAUCAAAGGAGCAAUUCGCUUCGGGAGGGGCCCGCGGCCCAUCAGCUAGUUGGUAGGGUAACGGCCUACCAAGGCAAUGACGGGUAGCUGGUCUGAGAGGACGAUCAGCCACAUUGGCACUGAGACACGGGCCAAACUCCUACGGGAGGCAGCAGUGAGGAAUAUUGCGCAAUGGGCGAAAGCCAGACGCAGCAACGCCGCGUGGGCGAUGAAGGUCUUCGGAUCGUAAAGCCCUUUUACGGAGGAAGAGGAAGGACAGUACUCCGGGAAUAAGUCUCGGCUAACUACGUGCCAGCAGCCGCGGUAAAACGUAGGAGGCUAGCGUUAUCCGGAUUUAUUGGGCGUAAAGCGCGUGCAGGCGGUGCUCUAAGUUGGAUGUGAAAUCUCCCGGCCUAACUGGGAGGGGUCAUUCAAUACUGGGGCACUUGAGGACAGGAGAGGGAAGUGGAAUUCCCGGUGUAGCGGUGGAAUGCGCAUAUAUCGGGAGGAACACCAGUGGCGAAAGCGGCUUCCCGGUCUGUCCCUGACGCUGAGACGCGAAAGCUAGGGGAGCAAACGGGAUUAGAUACCCCGGUAGUCCUAGCUGUAAACGAUGGAUACUAGGUGUUGGUGGUAUUGACCCCAUCAGUGCCGUAGCUAACGCGUUAAGUAUCCCGCCCUGGGGAGUACGACCGCAAGGUUUAACACUCAAAGGAAAUUGACUGGGGUCCCGCACAAGCACCUGAAGCGUGUGGGCUUUGACUUCGGAUGCAAACACG
Molecule: ribosomal RNA, 1010 nt
Filed under: uncultured bacterium
Lineage: Bacteria
Description: bacterial SSU rRNA
Rfam family: Bacterial small subunit ribosomal RNA
Source: RNAcentral